CCUACGGGGGGCAGCAGUGAGGAAUAUUGGGCAAUGGACGAGAGUCUGAACCAGCCAAGUAGCGUGAAGGAUGACUGCCCUAUGGGUUGUAAACUUCUUUUAUAUGGGAAUAAAACGUUCCACGUGUGGGAUUUUGUAUGUACCAUAUGAAUAAGGAUCGGCUAACUCCGUGCCAGCAGCCGCGGUAAUACGGAGGAUCCGAGCGUUAUCCGGAUUUAUUGGGUUUAAAGGGAGCGUAGGUGGAUUGUUAAGUCAGUUGUGAAAGUUUGCGGCUCAACCGUGAAAUUGCAGUUGAAACUGGCAGUCUUGAGUACAGUAGAGGUGGGCGGAAUUCGUGGUGUAGCGGUGAAAUGCUUAGAUAUCAUGAAGAACUCCGAUUGCGAAGGCAGUUCACUGGACUGCAACUGACACUGAGGCUCGAAAGUGUGGGUAUCAAACAGGAUUAGAUACCCGAGUAGUC
RNAcentral lists this ribosomal RNA (460 nucleotides) under uncultured bacterium. RNAcentral describes it as "partial 16S ribosomal RNA". It matches the Rfam family "Bacterial small subunit ribosomal RNA", at positions 338 to 795 of the family's 1533-position model. The record is from RNAcentral.